GCUAAACGCGAAGAACCUUACCCACCUUUGACAUGUACGGAAUCCUUUAGAGAUAGAGGAGUGCUCGAAAGAGAGCCGUAACACAGGUGCUGCAUGGCUGUCGUCAGCUCGUGUCGUGAGAUGUUGGGUUAAGUCCCGCAACGAGCGCAACCCUUGCCAUUAGUUGCUACGAAAGGGCACUCUAAUGGGACUGCCGGUGACAAACCGGAGGAAGGUGGGGAUGACGUCAAGUCCUCAUGGCCCUUAUAGGUGGGGCUACACACGUCAUACAAUGGCUGGUACAGAGGGUUGCCAACCCGCGAGGGGGUAGCCAAUCCCACAAAGCCAGUCGUAGUCCGGAUCGCAGUCUGCAACUCGACUGCGUGAAGUCGGAAUCGCUAGUAAUCGCGGAUCAGAAUGUCGCGG
Molecule: ribosomal RNA, 405 nt
Filed under: uncultured bacterium
Lineage: Bacteria
Description: bacterial SSU rRNA
Rfam family: Bacterial small subunit ribosomal RNA
Source: RNAcentral